UUUCCGUAGGUGAACCUGCGGAAGGAUCAUUCAUAAUAAAGUGUUUUAUGGCACUUUUUAAAAAUCCAUAUCCACCUUGUGUGCAAUGUUAGAUCUCGUCAAUCUUGGCGAGAUUUUUAUACAUCAACUCAUUCUUUAACUAAUUUGUCUGAAAAAUAUUAUGAAUACUUAAUUCAAAAUACAACUUUCAACAACGGAUCUCUUGGCUCUCGCAUCGAUGAAGAACCCAGC
This 231-nucleotide unclassified non-coding RNA is filed under the name plant metagenome. Its description in RNAcentral is "partial contains small subunit ribosomal RNA, internal transcribed spacer 1, and 5.8S ribosomal RNA". The stretch from base 183 to 231 matches the Rfam family "5.8S ribosomal RNA", at positions 1 to 49 of the family's 154-position model. The record is from RNAcentral.